Molecule: long non-coding RNA, 1401 nt
Filed under: Monodelphis domestica (gray short-tailed opossum)
Lineage: Eukaryota; Metazoa; Chordata; Mammalia; Didelphimorphia; Didelphidae
Description: lncRNA (ENSMODG00000032383.2)
Source: RNAcentral
AUGUCAGAGGCUGGAUUGGCACUCAGGAAAUGGAGUCUUUCCAAGCCCCGUGCUCCGGCCACUGUGCCCCGUCCUUGUUCUACGCACAAGCUGCCCCGAUCGCCGAGCCUUCAGAGAGCACCAAACUCGGGUCGCAGCACGUCUGGAGCCGUCUUCAUUGAACGCCGAAGCACCGCGACCGCUCGCUCGCUGGCGUGUCCGCUGGGGGAGCCUUUGGACGUCGUCCCACCCGGCACGCCCGAGGACUCGCUGGAGAGCCGAAGGCGUCGAUGGGCCGCGAAGGGCAGAGCGGCAGGCCUGGAGUUGGCUUCACCUCUUGGCUGUAUGACCCUGGGCGAGUCACUGGACCUGAUGGCCCGGCCGUCCUUCCUCUUCUGUCUCAGAAACGAUACCAAGGUAAGGAUUUACCACGAGGCGGAGGCGUGGUCAGGGCUGGGCCAUGGGGCAGAGAUCUGCAGGUUGGACCAGAUUGCCCAAGAGCUCCAUGACAGAGAAAGGCAGGAGACCUGGAAGGAGAUGCUGUGGGGGCAGUUCGUGGCCCACCUCCACGUUGGCGUGAGGCUGGCCCUUGUGUCCAGCGAGUGCGUGGAAGCGGCUCCCUUCCUUCGGAGCGCAGAGAACGGGAGCUCCCAAAGGUUCAGGGACUGUCCAGAGUCACGGGGCUGGCGGUGAGGGCGUCAGCGGCCCGGGGAGGAGUUGUGGCCCUCCGGCCCCCUCCAGAAGGCAGCUGGCGCCCCAGUCUGGGCUGCUAGUGAGGCUGCGAGGCGAGGGAAGUGAGCCGAGCCCACCCAGAGGGCCGCGGGAGCGGGACGGAGAGCAGCCGGAAGGGCAGGCCCACGUCCCUGGCUGUGGGCCCCGACGCCUGCCGGCCUUUGCUCCUGUCCAGUGGGCCGCAGAAGAAAAGGGCCGACCGCUCUGCCACCGUCCCUCCCCUCCCCCUCUGGGCAAUUCUCCACGCCCGAGCCCACCCUUCCAGCAGGGCCAGGCCCUGGCGCCUGGGCCCAUCCCGGGAGGCGGGGGACAAAGCUCUGGGCCUUCCCUGAGCCUUUCCCAAGCCGGCCCUGCCUGCGGUAGAGGAAGCACUCUCUCCUCUUCCUGGGAGCUGCGGAGGCCGGAUGGGGAGGCCCCUCUCUUCUGCCUCAAGGCUGCAUCGGAACCCAGGAAGCGGCCCCUGCUUGGGCGUUUUCAGAGGACGCCGGGCGCCGCGCCUCCCUUUCCUCUCAAAGGGAGCUUGCUGGGCACAGCGAAGCCCCAGCAGAGCGAGGGCCAGGAUGUUCUGUUCCCGCCCAAACACAGCCCCCCACGAGGCUGAGAAGGAGCCACGCCCAACGGGGUUCCGCUCGAGCCUCCUGAGAGGGCCUGCUUGGCGCUGAAACAGACCAGAGGGAAGACGGAAGUCGG